This is a long non-coding RNA of Salvia miltiorrhiza (redroot sage), 1597 nucleotides long. RefSeq lists it as uncharacterized. The record is from RefSeq and is a predicted model, not a curated record. Lineage: Eukaryota; Viridiplantae; Streptophyta; Magnoliopsida; Lamiales; Lamiaceae. The transcript has 4 exons.
CUUAUUUUAAUUCUUAAAACACAAAAUUAAGUAUCUCUCCUCCCCAAAUUCAAUUCCCCUAAACCACCCCCGUCUCCACACUACUCUCCCCUCCCCCGUCUGAAUCAGCGCCGCCCCUCCUUCCUCCGCCGUGAAUCCCUCCCCUUCGUUUGUCUAUUCUUUCUGUAGCUCCACACCAGCCUCUCCCCUCUCCCGCGGCGAUUACUCCGACCCCAACUCGGCACCGUGGCCCCUCCUUCCUGUUUCCGCGUAGCAAUUUCUCCCUCUCUUCCGCCGCGAUUCGCGUCACCGCCGCUGCCGCAAUCGCCAGAGAUCUACUCCAAUCUGCCACCGCGGCCCCUUCUUCCUGUCUCCGCGUAGCAAUUUCUCCCUCUCUUCCGUCGCGAUUCGCGUCACCGCCGCUGCCGCAAUCGCCAGAGAUCUGCUCCGAUCUGCCUCCCACUCCACCAAUUUCUUCAUUCUGCCUCCCGCUGCGAUUGGCUUCGCCGCGCCGGCCACCGCCGAGAUCGACACAGUCCGCCGCCUCGCCAUGUUGACUGGAAUCCGAGUGCAGUCUCACCGCCUCUUUGUGAUUUCCGACGACCACGGCAGCCAUGUCCGCCGAUCUGCCACCUCCCUUCCCCCAUAUGAUUUUUGGUUUAGAGGAUUAAGGGAUUGCUUACUUUAAAUCGAGCUGUAGGGAUCGAUAUAUACUUAUCUAUCAGGUUCUUUGAGAACCUUUGCUCAUGUACGAACAUGAAGAAAUUAUCAUUAUAUGACCAAGGUUUGUGAUUUGAUAAAGAUCAUCGAUUCCUCAUUCAAAUAAAUAUGAAUAAUUGUGCAAGGAUAACAUAGAUGAUAAUGUUAAUCUUGAUUGUUAUGUAUAUAAUUGAGGUGGCUUGAUCUUGAUGGGUUGGUGCUAGGCCAAGAAUCUGCAAACAAAUUAUAUUUCGUGCAGGAGGAAGAAGAAGAUGACGACUGAGUAAAUUUUGAAUUCGAUGAUGAAGAUGUUUGGUUACAGUCAUAAUAUGUUAUCUACUGUAUAUGAAAUUCUCCUUCUCCACAGCAUGAAUAUGGCCAAUCUUUUAGUGUUAUCCACUGAUGCAGAGUUUCAAUUUUUUUUUUGAAUUGCUGUGGAAGCCAUUUUCAAGCAUUAUAAUUGAUACUUUUUGGAGCCAUUUAUGAUCUGCCUUUAUUUUCUCCACUCCCUUUCUGAUCUACCUAUGUUACACAACACAUGGCCUUUUAUAAAUGAAAGGCCCUUUAUAAGUUUUGUAUUUAUUAAUUCAGAUUUUAUAAAGUAUAUGCUUCGUUAUAUACUAAUGUUGUGACUCACUUUGAUUGCUUAACAAUUUUACAGGACUGUGAGAUCACAUGGUGAUUCAAUUUCAGAAGCCAAAACAACAAAUUUUAGAAGCCAAAACAGCAGAUGAAAAAGUUCAGUCCCCAUCCUCAAAGGAUUAAAGUAGAAUCUAUAACUAUAUUACUCCAUGUAAUAUGAUUGCAAAUAAUAAUCGUUAAACAUAAUUUUUUUAUUCAUGUUAUUAUUUAUUUAUACAAUGAUGUCUACAAUUUCAGAACCCCAUAUAAAGACGUCAAGUUGUAACCUUCUGUUUUA